Limulus polyphemus (Atlantic horseshoe crab) is the source of this 929-nucleotide long non-coding RNA. RefSeq lists it as uncharacterized. The record is from RefSeq and is a predicted model, not a curated record. Lineage: Eukaryota; Metazoa; Arthropoda; Merostomata; Xiphosura; Limulidae. The transcript has 4 exons.
GACAGGAAACAAUUUUGGUGUCAUUACACGACUGGUAAAAUUCAUUAAGUGUCUAGAUUUUUUUGGACAGCAGUAUUUAGUUGUCUCUGUUUCCUCAUAUGUCUGCGGACUUACAUCACUAGAAUCCAGGUUUCGAUACCCGUGGUUGGCAGAGCACAGAUAGCACAUUGUGUAGCUUUGUGGUUAAUUACAAAAACAAACAAACAAACAUACUGUUUCCUCAAGUUUAUGUUGGACAAGAAAGAUCUUCCUUUUUACUAGCUUGUCUGUUAAAUAUCUGACAACAUUGUUAUAUAGCUGGUAAUGCUUAUACUCUAAGCAUUUAUAGCAGCCUCGACAUAGCUUCGUGUAUCUACUGGCUUAUCAUAGAUAAUUGUGGUCUUGUUCCUGGAGAAACAAUCACGAAACUCGAUCUUGUCUGGAAACUCCUUCUCUAAUGAUGAUGAAAGAAAGUACCGUGUUUUGAUUGAUGAAAGUAAGUACCAUGACCUAGUUAUUAUCAAGGAGUGAGUAUCAUGUCUUGACUCAUGAAAACUGACCAGAAUGUGUGCCUCGACAGAAGAGAUUAGGAAAAGGUGGCAUCUUUCGCUGGCAAACAACCGAGUUGGAAUUGUAAUUUCUUUGAGAAAGUGGGUUACAGAACAACUGACGCAUUUCUGAUGGGAAAGGUGGUCAAGUGACACCAGCUAACCUUACUAUUGAGUUCAGGAUACUGUACGAAAAGUGAAUUUCCUAUGAAAGUCGUGAAAGAGUUAUGUUGCCAAGUUUUCUUCCAUUAAUCAAAAUGUUUGAUUCAAAGAACAAACAACUGGUAAUAAAUAAUAUAUUUUCUACCUUAAUAUACACUUCAAGGUCACAUAUCCUUUUACCAUCACAGGAACAAGUAUUUAUAUGAGGAAAACGUUGCUGGUUGUCAUUGAAAUAUAAGG